AUGCCUACCACGCCAUGUGAGGGCUACACAGUCCUUCAGAAAGCAAAUAAAAAGAUCGCUGACCUGAAAGAAGACAUCCGUCGGCUCUCCAAUGAACUAAAAAAGAAGGAUUCACUCCUGUCCAGUUUCAUGGAAGUAGCAUCUGAGCAGUCCAAACAAAUCACUUCCCUCAACACAACUAUCCAGGACACCGUCAAAUGGGACCCUGUCGCCAACCUUCGGCUUUCUUCCUGCUCAACUCCUAACCAUCAGGAGUCAUGGGCUGAGGUGGUGGUCCGUGGUAGGACCAGUCGGGAGGUCCGGUCUGCCUCGCCACCGCACCUGGACCUCUCCAACCGCUACACGGUACUGUCCGAUGACGCCACGGCCCACCCAGGUGACCCGGCUGUCGCUCCAGCUGCUCCGACUCGCCUUGUCCUGGACCCAUCGCCGAGCACGACAUCAGCCGACACUGUCACUUCACCUCGGGAAAACAGUGUCCAGGCGGGCAGCCACUCGACCGUGAGGCCGGACCGACGGCCGCUGCCCAAAGCAACAUCGUCUUCCCGCUGUAAGAUGUUAAGGGACGCCGUACUCAGACGGUCUGGACGUCUUCCUCGCACUGAGCCGAGAGAGGAUCCUCCGUCUGGGUUCAAGGCCCCCGGACCCCAGUCACAUCACACACCUGCCCAGGCUGACCACCUCCAGCCGGUGACCACCGGCGUGCAGGCGGGUCGCGCACUUCCAGACCACGGGAGUCCCCAGCCGUCACCUCCCCGUACUCGCCCCCUCUUCACCCCGACCACACUUAUAACCGGGGACUCCAUCAUCAGGAAUAUUCGGUUCUUCAACGUUGUCACUCGCUGUUUUCCUGGAGCCACCGUGCCAGAUAUCCUGGACAAGCUCCCGGGGCUGCUGCUCUCACUCCCCUCCUCUAUCAGUCGGGUGAUAGUCCACGUCGGGACCAACGACUUAGCCCAGGAGCAGUCAGAGCUGACCAAAAAGGAUUUUAAUGGUCUUUUAUCCUUUUUAAGUACCUGUGAUGGGAAUGCUGUUGGUGGUGGCAGCUGGGGCUAUUGGUGACUGGUGCUGGCGACGGCUGCAGGUGAUGACUGCUGAAAGACGAGGAGGCUGGGGGCUGCUGACGGUGGACCAGGAAUGGAGAUGCCAAGUACAUCCAUGGCAACGAGUAAGGUGUUCGGCAGUGGCCUAGAUGCUAUGACCUUCGGUUCAGAUGUCUGUUGUUUCUUCUUUGCCUUCUUACUCUGACUCUUGCUGCCAAGAUACCCUUUAUUUUUUUCCUUCCUCUCAGCCCUGAUACACUUUGAAGCAAUCCUUAACCUCAGCCUGAUGUAUGUGGAGAUUAUUUUUUUCUUCAGGUCAUGGCAUGAGGGAAGGUUGCUGUGCAGUAACAUGGCCUUUUGUUCCAGCUGUGCCACUGCAUUUGAGGACUCCAUGAGGGAAUCACUCGUCUGCCCACGGAACAGCUGCUCCACGUUCUGAACAAGAGUGAAAACCUCAUCAGAUGGACGGAAAAGUGCGCCCCUUUUAAAUUCUUUUAAUUCCAGCAGGACAGCUCUCUCAUUUUCAUUGCUGACAUUUUGCACUAGUGCACACUUGCAUUUGUCACAAAGUGAGAAGCUGAUGACUCUUUUCACUAUGUAUCCUGCCAGGUGGUACAGCACACAGGACUCGGUUUUGGUGAUGUCAGGUGUUGAUAUCAGGUCUACCAGCUGCUCCACUCUUAGAACAUCAGGAGGACAGCAGGUGCUGUUCUGCGUGUCCAGGAAGUCUGCCAAGUGGUCGGAUCCAUCCUCCAGGUAACUGCCAGUAUGCACUGGCGAUAGGAACUGGCCCACGGUGACAGCAUAUUGGAACUCUACAGGUGUUGGGACAGAGUUCCUCAGACGAAUGGACGAAAAUGUGUUUUCCAGGCAGUCCUGGGUGAAGCGGCUUGUGAGGACAAAUUUGUGCCCUUGACUCAACAAGUCAUGCUGGACCUCCAGGAUUGUUGUUGUGGCCAUCACCAGUCCUGUCUGGACUGGUUUCCAGCUGCCCUUGGGACCGAUCUUCAGGCCCCGAAACAGAUGGAUGGAGUCCCGGAGGAAGCUGAUGGCCUUAUCAUACUCCUCCAUCUUGAAAUGACUCAGGGCAGUAACUACGUUGCGUGAUAACAUGAGGUCAAACCAGUGGUCCACCUUCUCCAAAAACCAUGAAGUGGUAAGGUAGGAUUCUGGUCUGUGCUCCUCCGCCACCAUGUACCUCAGGGCAGCACUUGUUGACUUGCUAAAGACAUGCAUCGCUGAACUAACCUUCAUCUUCUAAAAAUGGCUAGGCUCCAGGAUGCCUCUAGACAACUUGGGUGCCAGCUUUAGGGCCAUGCCCUCUUGGAAUGAUACAAGAUCUUUCAGAGGGCCGACAGACACCUGACUGGAAGGCAGCUUCUCCUUGUCCACUUCAUCUUGUGGUAUGGUGAUAACGUGACCAUUGACCAAGGCACUCUUCAAGUUCUUCACAAUGUGUGGCACGUCAGCCAUGAAGUACAGGCGCUGAUGUGGCUCCACAGGAUGUACUAUCCACGGCUUGGCACAGGUCACCCCAAAAGACUUCCACAUUGCCCUAUUGGGGCUCCCCAUGUCAGUGGUGAUGUUUACCACAUGAAGCCCUAUCGACGCGGCUGCUUCCAAGAUGUUGAGUAUUAUAGGCCGGUACACUGCGCCAUCAGUAGAAUUACUGCUGUAAUGGUAAGCCACAACCUGUUUCCACCGUGUGGUCGCACCAGCCAGCAUGAACACUAAGGCAUGAGUGGCCUGGCCUUUGUGGCCAGGUAGUGUUGUGUUUCCAAACAGCCUCCCUGUUCCCAGAUGCAGCUCGACGCUAGGGGUGAUGGACAUCUCAUCUAAGGUGAGCACACAUUUCUUUUCCAUUUCAUUCAUGCCAUCUGCCUUUAGCCUCAGCAUAUCAAAGACCUCCCCCAACACUCCUGGCUCCAUUUUGACAUGCUGCAUCCUCCUCUGAAAGGUCCUGAUGUCAGGCAGAGGCAUAUUCAUGGAUUGGAGGGUUUUGUAUUCGGUCGUGCCACAACAGAACCUAAUUCCAAUUGCUUUUUUCACGGUUUCUUUGCCCCACCGUAUCCCCCUUUUUUUGAAUGCCCAAGUGCUCUAAUUUGGUCUGUGUUAAAGAUUUUUUUAAACUUUUGAUUAAUCAAAUUGUGUUUUUUUCUUAAUGCCAAAUUAAUCCUUUUCUGUUUUACCAGAGCCCUCUCUGCUCUCCUUCUGAGUAGCCUCUCCAUUCUGAGUUGCCUCAUUAGGUUCUCCACCUGAGCCCGGUCACAACUGGCCCUUGGCAAUCUGGUCCCUGGAGCACCUGACCCUGGUAAACUGGCCUCUUCAUUCCUCAACCCUGACUGACUGGCCCCUGGCAGUCUGCUGACAUCGGUUUCACUCUCUCUGUCUGUUAUGUCUCUUUCAUUCCCUUUGAUCUCCACCUCAAUUUCUCCCUCAAUCUCUGUAACAAUAACAAGGUAUUCUUGCUGUUACAUGUGUAUGCUGCCUUUAGAUUUGCACCUAUUUUCAUUUAAGGGUACACUACACUCCUAUAGUGACAUUCAUCUAAGUUUAUCUAUUGGAAAUGGUAAACUAUGAAGAAAUCUGUAGAUUAUCUACAUGUGGCAUAUGAAUCUUCAGGAAAUCCCUGAACUCUGGUUGUUUUGAAGCUGUAUGUACUAAUCUGGAGGUUGCAUUAGGAGUGUAGUCUAUCCUUGAAUUAUAUAACAUGAGAAACAUUGUUAGCUGUAUAUAUCGUACCGAUGUUUGAUGUGCCAUAAUAGUUGUGGUCAUCAUUCCUGACAUUAACAGCUGGAGGCUGGAGACUCCUUGAAGUGGCUUUCCUCCUUUUCGGCUUAGGCCGAUGUACAAAUACUGUCGGCACAGCAUCUGGCCUCAGCCUCAAAUUUCCUCCUGAUUUGCUGGCAAUAAAUUGGUCAUCUUCAAAGUGUACCUGUAGGUAAGCUUGUAAAAUCAGUUUCCACUGAACACUUCAAAUGUCAUUUAAGAGUCAUAAUUCUCUACACUUUGAAAUAUGAUGCCCUUUAAAAUGUUAACAAGUCAUGUCACCUCUGUGAACAUUACUUACAUGACAGAGUUUUCUGCUGUUGUUGUCCUCUGUCAGACACAGGUUUUGUCUUUUGACCAUUGCCAUCCAUCUCUUCCUUCGCUCUAUGUUCUUAGGGAAGCCAUACAUAUGGAACCCCUUCUCAGAACGGUUGGAGCAUCCAAAUGCUGCACAUCCAACCAUGGUAAGACCACUGAUCUAUUAAAAUGUUGGUGGUGAACAAUAGCUAUCACAACUCGGACAUCAUUGAAAAUCAGAGAGCGGGUGACAACUUCUCCCCAACCACUAAUGUCCCUCUGACUUGGAUUAGGUAAGAGGUCAGAGUACAUGAUCAAACCAGGAUCCUCCUCUCUCACUCUUUAUCAUGUUUUGAGUUUGCUCAGGGCUGUUAUGAUGAUGGCUGUUGUGGUAAUGACACACUGUAUGGUAUGUUUGUGAUGUUAGAAUAUGUUGUGAUUGGGUUGUCCCAAGUAUAUAGUGCUACCUGCUAUGUCCUCUGUUGAGUCUGCUUUCAACUGUAUUCACUCCCCUUAUUCACCACUGUCCCUAUUCUUACUCUGCUUUUUAGGGCCCAGGAAACAGAACAGAAAAAGGAUGUCCCUUUCACAAAGGAACCUUUGUUUUUUUUUUCUAAUUUUCUGGAUUGCUUUUUUGUAAAUAGUUGAAGUAGUUGUAGAAUUUUCACACACACACACACACACACACUCACACACCUUAAAGGAAUUGUUUUUUUUUUUUUAAGUGGGGUCAUAUAAAGUACAUAUCUAUAGUCGAUCUGUUCCCUACCUACCUACCGAUCAGUGCAGCCUCAGUUUGCAGGAGUAGAGAGCUGCUCCAGCCCAGACGCUCAGCUUUGUACUGCAGUGAACGUAUUCCAGAUGCAAAGCAAAUUCUAAGCACCUAAAACAAGGCCCACAUAAAAAAGUCUAUAUCAGUUAAAUGUACGAUGUAUAGACUAAAUUCACACUGCUUUACAUCGCUGUCAGACCGCCCUUUCUUUUUACAAAAUGUAGUACCAAAAGAAAGGGCAAUCUGACAACGUUGUAAAGCAGUGUGAAUUUUGUCUAUACAGUGUACACUUGAACUGAUAUAGAUUUUUAUUUUUUUUAUGUGGGCCUUGUUUUAGGUGCUUAAAAUUUGCUUUACAUCUGGACCCGUUCACUCCAGUACAAAGCUGAGCGUCUGGGCUGGAGCAGCUCUCUGCUUCUCCAAACUGAGGCUGCACUGAUCAUUGAUUACAGUAGGGAACAGAUCGACUAUAGAUACUUUAUAUGACCCCACUUCAAAAAACCCAAACUAUCCCUUUAAAAUACUUGUAUUUAUUUAUAUUCCACCGUCUAUACUUUUGUUCUCACAAUUGUUCUUCUUUCUCUCACACACACACACACAAACACAAGCACACGUUCUUGUUGUCUAUUGUUUAAUAAAAAAUACUUUAUUUGCAAAC
RNAcentral lists this long non-coding RNA (5539 nucleotides) under Sparus aurata (gilthead seabream). Its description in RNAcentral is "lncRNA (ENSSAUG00010008495.1)". The record is from RNAcentral. Lineage: Eukaryota; Metazoa; Chordata; Actinopteri; Spariformes; Sparidae.